AGAGUUUGAUCAUGGCUCAGAACGAACGCUGGCGGCACGCCUAACACAUGCAAGUCGAGCGGGAACUUCGGUUCUAGCGGCGGACGGGUUAGUAACGCGUGGGAACGUACCUUUUGCUUCGGAAUAGCCUCGGGAAACUGGGAGUAAUACCGGAUGUGCCCUUUGGGGGAAAGAUUUAUCGGCAAGAGAUCGGCCCGCGUCUGAUUAGAUAGUUGGUGGGGUAAUGGCCUACCAAGUCUGCGAUCAGUAGCUGGUUUGAGAGGAUGAUCAGCAACACUGGGACUGAGACACGGCCCAGACUCCUACGGGAGGCAGCAGUGGGGAAUCUUAGACAAUGGGCGCAAGCCUGAUCUAGCGAUGCCGCGUGAGUGACGAAGGCCUUAGGGUCGUAAAGCUCUUUCGCCAGGGAUGAUAAUGACAGUACCUGGUAAAGAAACCCCGGCUAACUCCGUGCCAGCAGCCGCGGUAAUACGGAGGGGGUUAGCGUUGUUCGGAAUUACUGGGCGUAAAGCGCACGUA
This 519-nucleotide ribosomal RNA is filed under the name uncultured bacterium. RNAcentral's name for it is "bacterial SSU rRNA". It matches the Rfam family "Bacterial small subunit ribosomal RNA", at positions 8 to 573 of the family's 1533-position model. The record is from RNAcentral.